GAUGAACGCUGGCGGCGUGCCUAAUACAUGCAAGUCGAGCGAACAGACGAGGAGCUUGCUCCUCUGACGUUAGCGGCGGACGGGUGAGUAACACGUGGAUAACCUACCUAUAAGACUGGGAUAACUUCGGGAAACCGGAGCUAAUACCGGAUAACAUGUUGAACCGCAUGGUUCAACAGUGAAAGACGGUCUUGCUGUCACUUAUAGAUGGAUCCGCGCCGCAUUAGCUAGUUGGUAAGGUAACGGCUUACCAAGGCAACGAUGCGUAGCCGACCUGAGAGGGUGAUCGGCCACACUGGAACUGAGACACGGUCCAGACUCCUACGGGAGGCAGCAGUAGGGAAUCUUCCGCAAUGGGCGAAAGCCUGACGGAGCAACGCCGCGUGAGUGAAGAAGGUCUUCGGAUCGUAAAGCUCUGUUAUUAGGGAAGAACAAAUGUGUAAGUAACUAUGCACGUCUUGACGGUACCUAAUCAGAAAGCCACGGCUAACUACGUG
This 497-nucleotide ribosomal RNA is filed under the name uncultured bacterium. RNAcentral describes it as "partial 16S ribosomal RNA". It matches the Rfam family "Bacterial small subunit ribosomal RNA", at positions 28 to 507 of the family's 1533-position model. The record is from RNAcentral.